RNAcentral lists this ribosomal RNA (497 nucleotides) under uncultured bacterium. Its description in RNAcentral is "partial 16S ribosomal RNA". It matches the Rfam family "Bacterial small subunit ribosomal RNA", at positions 28 to 507 of the family's 1533-position model. The record is from RNAcentral.
GAUGAACGCUGGCGGCGUGCCUAAUACAUGCAAGUCGAGCGAACGGACGAGAAGCUUGCUUCUCUGAUGUUAGCGGCGGACGGGUGAGUAACACGUGGAUAACCUCCCUAUAAGACUGGGAUAACUUCGGGAAACCGUAGCUAAUACCGGAUAAUAUUUUGAACCGCAUGGUUCAAUAGUGAAAGACGGUCUUGCUGUCACUUAUAGAUGGAUCCGCGCUGCAUUAGCUAGUUGGUAAGGUAACGGCUUACCAAGGCAACGAUGCGUAGCCGACCUGAGAGGGUGAUCGGCCACACUGGAACUGAGACACGGUCCAGACUCCUACGGGAGGCAGCAGUAGGGAAUCUUCCGCAAUGGGCGAAAGCCUGACGGAGCAACGCCGCGUGAGUGAUGAAGGUCUUCGGAUCGUAAAACUCUGUUAUUAGGGAAGAACAUAUGUGUAAGUAACUGUGCACAUCUUGACGGUACCUAAUCAGAAAGCCACGGCUAACUACGUG